UCCCUGGAGGACUAGUGGUUAGGCCUCGGUGCUCUCGCUGCCGCGGCCAGGGUUUGAUUCCCGGCCAGGGAA
This 72-nucleotide transfer RNA is filed under the name Pangasius djambal. RNAcentral's name for it is "tRNA-Glu". Lineage: Eukaryota; Metazoa; Chordata; Actinopteri; Siluriformes; Pangasiidae. The record is from RNAcentral.